CGAGUCUGUGUCCUCCCUGUCCCUCCGAGCAGAGAGCCUCCCCGUAUCUGGACCGGGGAGGAGCAGACGCUGGACAGGUUUCUGGGAGAAUGCUGGCAAUUCCCAGGAAGAUACGUGGAGAACGGAAAGGUUGCUACACCCAAAUAGUGGAGCAAAGCUAUGAUUAUGGAGGAUUGGACCUGCAAACUCCAGAACAGAGCAACCUUGUAAAAUGUGUGUGGGCAGCACAGAGACCUUGGGCAAGUUAACAGUUUCCUCAUCUAAAUAGUGAUUUAUGGAAAGCACCUGGUGCGUGUUCUGCCCUCUGAGGACCCUGCCCUUUCCCAAAAGGGAUAUCUUGAGAAGGAAAGUAUGGCUGCUCUUUGCUGGACAGCAGAGUCCCAGGCUGAACUCCAGUGCACCCAGUUAGACUUGGAGCGGAAACUCAAGUUGAAUGAAAAUGCCAUCUCCAGGCUCCAGGCCAACCAAAAGUCUGUUCUGAUGUCGGUGUCAGAGGUCAAAGCAGUGGCUGAAAUGCAGUUUGGGGAACUCCUUGCUGCUGUGAGGAAGGCCCAGGCCAAUGUGAUGCUGUUCUUAGAGGAGAAGGAGCAAGCUGCGCUGAGCCAGGCCAACGGUAUCAAGGCCCACCUGGAGUACAGGAGUGCCGAGAUGGAGAAAAGCAAGCAGGAGCUGGAGAGGAUGGCGGCCAUCAGCAACACUGUCCAGUUCCUGGAGGAGUACUGCAAGUUUAAGAACACUGAAGACAUCACCUUCCCUA
This 757-nucleotide small RNA is filed under the name Pongo abelii (Sumatran orangutan). RNAcentral describes it as "processed transcript". The record is from RNAcentral. Lineage: Eukaryota; Metazoa; Chordata; Mammalia; Primates; Hominidae.